Molecule: long non-coding RNA, 768 nt
Organism: Daktulosphaira vitifoliae (grape phylloxera)
Lineage: Eukaryota; Metazoa; Arthropoda; Insecta; Hemiptera; Phylloxeridae
Exons: 3
Source: RefSeq, a predicted model, not a curated record
GCUUGGAACAUAACGUUACGUACGUCGUCACGUAAUUAAAAUCAUAGUUGUAAUUAGAACCCAAUCAAACGACGACGAUCAAAAUAUGCGUUUCGAAACGUCUCUAUUGUUCCUUUGGUCGUCAUUGGAAAUGGUAACGUUUUCGUGGAAUUCACGAGUGCUAGUAAGUCGUUGUGUGCAGCACCGCCGACGUCCUUUCACAUCGUGUGGGGUGGUUUAAAAAUUGUCGGGUCGUUUUUUUUCUCUUUCCUUAGGACCGUUUGGCAGUGCAUAGACGCAGCAGAGUGGCUGUUCGGUUCGAUAAAUUCGAAUGGGCCAUAAACAACGAGUAUGGACGCGUGAACCAAGUUUACGUCAGUCAAUCAAACGGAUCCGAUCUCGGCAACGUGGCAAUGACAUUCGAUUUCGAAUUCGUCCUACAGCAAUUGACUGUAGAAAUAUUCAAGUGUAAAGAACAUUACAUAGAUUGUGUGAAUUACAGAAGUUUUGGAUUCACGCGGUUUUGUGGACACGAAAAUGCCAUACUACUUUUCGUCAAGUUGGGAUACGUCGACCGCGAGUUGUCGUGCACAAUCAAACAGGGACUCUACACGGUGAAGAAUGUAACGUUAAACGUGGACAACGUGGUCGGACCGUUUGCGCUUUCCCUCGAAAAGUGGUGGGAGCAAACGUGGAUAUGGAACUGUACGUUUUUCGCCGGCAACGACGCGUUCAUCAUGCGGUCCAACGGACAACUCCGAUUUCUGAUGCUGAAGAGGAGUAGGAGUA